RNAcentral lists this ribosomal RNA (302 nucleotides) under Listeria monocytogenes. RNAcentral's name for it is "bacterial LSU rRNA". It matches the Rfam family "Bacterial large subunit ribosomal RNA", at positions 1147 to 1449 of the family's 2925-position model. The record is from RNAcentral. Lineage: Bacteria; Bacillati; Bacillota; Bacilli; Caryophanales; Listeriaceae.
GGUCGAGUGACCCCGCGCCGAAAAUGUACCGGGGCUAAACAUAUUACCGAAACUGUGGAUGAACCUCUUUAGAGGUUCGUGGUAGGAGAGCGUUCUAAGGGCGGUGAAGUCAGACCGGAAGGACUGGUGGAGCGCUUAGAAGUGAGAAUGCCGGUAUGAGUAGCGAAAGAAGGGUGAGAAUCCCUUCCACCGAAUAUCUAAGGUUUCCUGAGGAAGGCUCGUCCGCUCAGGGUUAGUCGGGACCUAAGCCGAGGCCGAUAGGCGUAGGCGAUGGACAACAGGUAGAGAUUCCUGUACCAGUG